This 437-nucleotide ribosomal RNA is filed under the name Bacillus thuringiensis. Its description in RNAcentral is "bacterial SSU rRNA". It matches the Rfam family "Bacterial small subunit ribosomal RNA", at positions 1 to 424 of the family's 1533-position model. Lineage: Bacteria; Bacillati; Bacillota; Bacilli; Caryophanales; Bacillaceae. The record is from RNAcentral.
UUUAUUGGAGAGUUUGAUCCUGGCUCAGGAUGAACGCUGGCGGCGUGCCUAAUACAUGCAAGUCGAGCGAAUGGAUUAAGAGCUUGCUCUUAUGAAGUUAGCGGCGGACGGGUGAGUAACACGUGGGUAACCUGCCCAUAAGACUGGGAUAACUCCGGGAAACCGGGGCUAAUACCGGAUAACAUUUUGAACCGCAUGGUUCGAAAUUGAAAGGCGGCUUCGGCUGUCACUUAUGGAUGGACCCGCGUCGCAUUAGCUAGUUGGUGAGGUAACGGCUCACCAAGGCAACGAUGCGUAGCCGACCUGAGAGGGUGAUCGGCCACACUGGGACUGAGACACGGCCCAUACUCCUACGGGAGGCAGCAGUGGGGAAUCUUCCGCCAUGGACGAAAGUCUGACGGGAGCAACGCCGCGUGAGUGAUGAAGUCUUUCGGGUC